AACCCGCUUCCUCUUUUGCAACUAGCUUUGAAGCUGGGCACACUGAGGAGACCGCCACUAAUAAAGUGGAGGAAGGAGCGGGCCACGGCAGGUCAGUAUGCCCCGAAUCUCCCGGGCCACACGCGAGCUGCAAUGGCAGGUACAAUGGGUUCCGACCUCGAAAGGGGAAGGCAAUCUCGAAAGCCUGCCGUAGUUGGGAUCGAGGGCUGCAACCCGCCCUCGUGAACAUGGAAUCCCUAGUAAUCGCGUGUCAUUAGCGCGCGGUGAAUAC
RNAcentral lists this ribosomal RNA (271 nucleotides) under unidentified archaeon. RNAcentral's name for it is "16S ribosomal RNA". It matches the Rfam family "Archaeal small subunit ribosomal RNA", at positions 1047 to 1325 of the family's 1478-position model. The record is from RNAcentral.